GCUGGAACCGUCGGUACUUUUAAGGUGAUAAGGGUAUCUGACCAAGAAAGGAUCUCAGCAGAGAUUUCUCCAAAAGUCACUUGACCUUUAGAAUUACCAAAACCUUGACCUGAAAUAGUAAUCUUAU
RNAcentral lists this non-coding RNA (127 nucleotides) under Streptococcus pyogenes. Lineage: Bacteria; Bacillati; Bacillota; Bacilli; Lactobacillales; Streptococcaceae. The record is from RNAcentral.